This is a long non-coding RNA of Mastomys coucha (southern multimammate mouse), 501 nucleotides long. RefSeq lists it as uncharacterized. The record is from RefSeq and is a predicted model, not a curated record. The transcript has 3 exons. Lineage: Eukaryota; Metazoa; Chordata; Mammalia; Rodentia; Muridae.
CGAAGGGGGUGAGUACUGAGAAGGAGGGAGUGAACAGAAGAGAGAGACGCUGCUGCCAAGGGAGGGAAACCAGGAGAGGCUAAAGGCACAGGCUGGAAUGAUGUUGAAAAGCCGAAGCUCAGAGGGAGUUAGAGGAGGAAGAUAAGGAACACAGAGGCCUGAAAAGGAAGGAAGAAAGUGGAGGCAUCUGGCCAGCAGGUGUGAGCUCUGUGGGUUCACCCAGGUCCUCACGCAGAGCAGAGCGCUGCAAUGGAGGAAAAGCAGGGGGCAAAAUCGGCAAGGCUCAAAGAGGAAAACUUCAAAGUCCACAGAUGCUUACAGUUUCAAGAUUGCUCCCCUCCAGAGACUGCUCCUACUGAGAUGAACUAAACCUGUCUUCUUGAUCCAUCUGUAUAACCAUAAACUGUGCCUCCUGGUUUUAUCUGUACGUAAUAAGCCCGCCUCAUUGUUCAGCUGUAUGCAGUAGCCCUGCCUCUCUAUAUAAUAAACAUGCUGAUCGUC